RNAcentral lists this long non-coding RNA (684 nucleotides) under Carica papaya (papaya). Its description in RNAcentral is "long non-coding RNA (CPAP_LNC005553)". Lineage: Eukaryota; Viridiplantae; Streptophyta; Magnoliopsida; Brassicales; Caricaceae. The record is from RNAcentral.
AUGCUCGCCGGAGAAGAAGAACCAGACGCCGGAGGAGCCGGCCGCCGCCACCCGCCGCCGCACCGGGGAAGUUUUCGACCGCCGAUCAAGGUAAUUUUUCUCCCCCUUGCUCGUUUUUCGACGCUGUGUCCGCUUAUGGCCAAACCGGAGCCAAACCACCAGCCAAACGGCCAGAAAACCCAGCCAAAAGCCAGCGGCACUGCCGCGCCCUUCCUCGGUUUUUGCCUCCGAUGAGGCCCUUCCCGGCCUCCGUUUGAUGCAAAUUUUAUACCACUGUGAUCACCGUUCUUUUCUCUACAGGUUGAUCGGAGCCAAAUAUCAAAACGUGACUCACGCCAGAGGAGCCGCUGCACCCGAGAGCACCGCCGUCGGUAAGUUUCGGUUUUUUGUGAUUUUUCGGCCCACCGAGGGCCCUAGGGUUGUUCUAUCACAGGGGUCGAUGCAAGCGUGGCCGAAUUCGGCCAAAAACGAUCAACCCGAGGCUAAUCGCCGCCGCUUGCGGCGGCGCCGUCGCUAGAGCACGGCGGAGCCGCCAUGCUGGAAUUGCGAUAUUGGCCGAAAGGGGCCCUAGGUCUAAUUUGGGAUUUUUUGGGACACGUGCAGGUACUAGUAGUGCGUUUCAGUUCCCCAGAAAAAAUUCAGGGAAAAUUAGGGACAGCCUGUAGGCGCACUGUAGAGCCGUAU